Molecule: long non-coding RNA, 417 nt
Organism: Stegastes partitus (bicolor damselfish)
Lineage: Eukaryota; Metazoa; Chordata; Actinopteri; Pomacentridae
Exons: 3
Source: RefSeq, a predicted model, not a curated record
ACCAGAACAAAUUCCUCAUAUUGUGUGAACUAUACCUGGCAAUAAACCUGAUUCUGAUUCUGGUUCUGAUUCUGAUUCCAGGGAAACUGCUUGAAUAGUUUCCUAUUAAUUGAUCUCAUUUAGGUGCAAUCCCGCGGGGGAGAAGCUCACUUGGCAGCAGCUGAAGAUGAAAUAUAAACACACUGUUCAAACAGCCAACAGAAAGAAGGCAGAUGCCCAUAAAACAGGUGGUGGUCCAGCACCACCACCUCUAAUGGAGGCCAGUGGCUGAAGGAAUCCCUGGAGGGAGCUCAUCCUCUGAGCCCACCCCCCAAGACACAAGUGCCUUUAUAAAGUAUUGUGAUGGUGCUGUCUGCCUGGUGGAGCCCCCUCACGCCACAGCACACCUUGUAACUGUAAGUAGGCGAUACUCCGUAG